ACUGAACGCUGGCGGCAGGCCUAACACAUGCAAGUCGGGCGAGCGGUGGACGGGUGAGUAUUGUAUGUGGAUCUGCCUGAUGUUGGGGGAUAAUUUCCGGUAACGGUACCUAAUACCGCACACCCUCAGAGGAACUCAUAUGGGUUUCGUUUGUAGGUUAGGUAACUGCUCACCUAGGCGACGUUCCCUAGCUGGUCUGCGGGGAUAAGCAGCCACACUGGGGCUGAGAAGCGGCACAGACUCCUACGGGAGGCAGCAGUGGGGAAUAUUGCACGAUGGGAGCGAGCCUGAUGCAGCCAUGCCGCGUGUAUGAAGAAGGCCUUCGGGUUGUAAAGUACUUUCAGUCGGGAGGCGUUACCGACAGAAUAAGCACCGGCUAACUCCGUGCCAGCAGCCGCGGUAAUUC
This 406-nucleotide ribosomal RNA is filed under the name uncultured bacterium. RNAcentral describes it as "partial 16S ribosomal RNA". It matches the Rfam family "Bacterial small subunit ribosomal RNA", at positions 30 to 526 of the family's 1533-position model. The record is from RNAcentral.